GCGGUCAUGGCGGAAUGGGUAGACGCGCUAGAUUCAGGUUCUAGUCAGGGUUAACUUGGUGGAUGUUCGAAUCAUCUUGACCGCA
This 85-nucleotide transfer RNA is filed under the name Chlamydiales bacterium. RNAcentral describes it as "tRNA-Leu". It matches the Rfam family "tRNA". From Rfam's summary of the family: Transfer RNA (tRNA) molecules are approximately 80 nucleotides in length. Lineage: Bacteria; Pseudomonadati; Chlamydiota; Chlamydiia; Chlamydiales. The record is from RNAcentral.